Sphaeramia orbicularis (orbiculate cardinalfish) is the source of this 2906-nucleotide long non-coding RNA. RefSeq lists it as uncharacterized. Lineage: Eukaryota; Metazoa; Chordata; Actinopteri; Kurtiformes; Apogonidae. The record is from RefSeq and is a predicted model, not a curated record. The transcript has 4 exons.
AGACGCCGGAUUUAACUAAAGAGGGAGACGCUUCAUUCAAUCAGAACAAUGGACACCGGUGCACAAUGGUCAAUGCAUAAGCGGGGCGAAAAAUGUUUGGAUUUCUGCACACGUCGUCCACGGCAGCCGGUGUUUGCAUGCGUGCGUGUGCAUGAGAGAGAGAGAGAGAGAGAGAGAGAGAGAGAGAGAGAGAGAGAGAGAGAGAGGGGGGACCGGCGGCGCAGCAGCUCCGCGCACACACCGUCAUCCAUCUGAGGCUGGUGAGGACAUGUGGGAUGCGGGGAGCGGAUGCAGCAGCAGCGGCAGCGGUAGUGUGUCCAGAGCCGCCUCGGCCUUGGCUGGUCUGUGGUCAGUGAAGCUCCAGUACCGGCAGUGUUUCAAAGCCCUCUGUGAUGGUUGGAUCAGAUCACUGUGUGGGUUUACUCAGUGAAGCCUUGCACCGUGUGGGUUCCUCUCUGGACUUCGGCUUAUAGUUUGAGUACAGACUUGAGUUGACAUGUAUGGACCUGAUGGAAAGGUGCAGGAUUUACUCGAAAAGUUGAAUAUGUGAAACUGAGACAGAGGAACAGUCACAGACCAAGCAACACACACUCUGUCUGUAGGCCUGAAUCUGAACCUGUAGGGCACAAGGUCAGCAGCGACACAAACACACCGCUUCCUCUGCUGAGAAACAAGAGGAUAUUCGGUGGGUCAGGAUGAGGCUCCAUCGCUCUGUAGUCAACAGCAGGAAGAGGAGGAGGAGGCAGUGGAGGAGGAAAACUAGCAGCAGAGUGGGUGGAAGGAUGGAAGGAAAGAAGGAUAGAAGCAGUUCGAGGAGGUGGUUCGAAGCGGGUGAACCCAGAGCAGGUGAACACAGCUGUGGAUCGCCAUGGGCUCUCUGGCUGCCUUCCUCCUGUGGCCCCAGCGCUGCAUACACGGGUCCCAGGGAGCCAGCAGGGGCCAGCCAAAGCUGCGGCAGAGUGGGCAGGCUAGGCCAACCAAGCCAGGAGAGAGGCAGGUGAGGCGGGUGAGCAGAGCUCUCAUUCCCGCCGGCUAGGAGCCUCCGCGGCAGAGUGGAGCAGCGCGGAGCAGCAGAAAUCAAUACAGAGGAGAGAGGCUAGCAGAGGUUGCCCAGCACCGCCUGCAGGCCUCGGAGCCCAGGGACCAACCACCACCACUGCUCCCAGCUCCUCUCUCCAUCUCUCUUUCUAUCUUUCUUCAGCAGUCCCAGCAUCAGCCAGGGCCAGGGCCCCAACCCCGCAACCACCCCACACGCAGUGUGUGUGUGUGUCAGCACAUGCACAUGUGUGUGAAAUAAAGAGAGUGAAAGAAAGACAGAGAGAAAGUCUUUGUGUGUGGUUCAGCCGGAGGGGUUUUUGCUGCGUCCAACACCACUUGAUAAAACUUUGUCAGAGACGUGGAGACAGCAGGGGAGGGAGAGAAACACAAGAAGAAUAAUACAGGACGUCGAAGGUCUCUUUUCUUCCAACUCCCUCCCUCCUUUUACUCAUUCCACCUUUACUGUUUGAAUCUCGAUUCAUCGGAGACAGUACACUUUCUGUUCUGCUCCACAUCCAAGACCGUAGCGCAGUUUUCCAUAAGAUCUCACAAGCCGGGAUGAAGGGACAAUUUGAACUUUUUCUCUCAUCCACCGCAUCAGACAGAGCCUGUCUUUUCGCCUUAGAUUUUCUUACUCUUACUACAGCAGCUCCCAUCAGAGGAUAUGGCAGUGCAGUAUUGAUCUAUAAGGUGGGGGAGAGGAAGGAGGGCCUGGGCUUUCAUACUUCUCUCUCACUGUGUGUGUGGAAAUAGCACCUGAAGUCCACUUACUGCUGUGCAGCAGGAAUCCCAUGGCAGCAGAAGUGAAUGGCUGCUAAUUGAAUGAGAGAUGAAAAGGACAGUAGUUCUACUUGUUCAGUGCCCCCUCGUUCUGUCUAAUACCACUUGGUUUUUCAUCUGACUUUUUCUACUCCACAUUUACAAAAGUCCUUCUCCACACAAAGAGACAUACACUUGAGAUAUUUUAAUAACAUUGCCGGUGACUAAAGAAAACUGGUGAAAACCUGUGGAAUGAAAACACCGGUGUGAGGUGAAUGCCUUCAGCAGAAAACCAAGAUGUUUUUUCAUGAAGUGAUAGAGACAUCCAGCUUAAAGCUCUAAGAGGUCAAGCCAUGAAGCACACAGUAUACUUUGUGUACUUGGAAGGACAUUAAAGGACAGCUGGGGAGUCUGCCAGGCAUCAAACCCACAGAGACUGCAACGAAGUUCGUACCUUUUGAUCCAGGAAUGCCACCAUGGAGAUGAAAAGUGGCAAACCUUCCUCUACACCUGGGCCUGAUUCUUACAGAGAACGCACACCAUCCAUCUGCAGCUAAUUUCUCAGAUCAUGUUUAGCCUCGGCCACAUAUGGAAAAUGCCACCUCUACACCUGGAUGAAUAGUCAGUUAGACACACAUAAUCAGAGGCUGAUUAUCAGUGUUCUCGUCUGCAGCCUUUGUGGAUGUGGACAGGUAAGUAGGAGCUGCUUGAAAAAGGUAAGCUUAGGGGUUGAAUCGAUUUAAGAGCUGUCUGAAGUGUAAAAUGGAGCUGCCAAGCAAUAUUUUUCAAAAUUAGUUUCAUUAGAUAUGAAUUACUAUAUUUGAGACCAAUUUUAGGUCGGAGAUUGGAUGAGACCCCAAGGGGUCCUUCUUUUUACUCUGUAAUUUACAUUCAAGUAUUUGACUGGAAAAUCAUUUGACAAGAAUUUGUCAUUGUUGAAUUAGUUUCCUCUUUUCUGUGUUAUAUUAUGUACAUAUACAUAUUUAUACAAUCUUUUUCAUAGUGUAAGGAAAUAAUUUACAAUAAAACAUUUAAUGAGAUUGCCAAAUGCAAAAACUUUGGUUUUGAUAUGAUAUAUAUUUUCAAUAAAACUGAACAAUUUGUGAAAU